UCGGGAAUCUUGGACAAUGGGCGCAAGCCUGAUCCAGCCAUGCCGCGUGGAUGAUGAAGGCCUUAGGGUUGUAAAAUCCUUUCGCCGAGGACGAUAAUGACGGUACUCGGAGAAGAAGCUCCGGCUAACUUCGUGCCAGCAGCCGCGGUAAUACGAAGGGAGCUAGCGUUGUUCGGAAUCACUGGGCGUAAAGCGCACGUAGGCGGAUAGUUAAGUCAGGGGUGAAAUCCUGGGGCUCAACCCCAGAACUGCCUUUGAUACUGGCUGUCUCGAGGUCGAGAGAGGUUGGUGGAAUUCCUAGUGUAGAGGUGAAAUUCGUAGAUAUUAGGAAGAACACCAGUGGCGAAGGCGGCCAACUGGCUCGAUACUGACGCUGAGGUGCGAAAGCGUGGGGAGCAAACAGGAUUAGAUACCCAAGUAGUCCCUGAGCGGGCUGGCAAGGCGCAU
This 447-nucleotide ribosomal RNA is filed under the name uncultured bacterium. RNAcentral's name for it is "bacterial SSU rRNA". It matches the Rfam family "Bacterial small subunit ribosomal RNA", at positions 355 to 825 of the family's 1533-position model. The record is from RNAcentral.